RNAcentral lists this ribosomal RNA (6693 nucleotides) under Triticum aestivum (bread wheat). Its description in RNAcentral is "partial small subunit ribosomal RNA". Lineage: Eukaryota; Viridiplantae; Streptophyta; Magnoliopsida; Poales; Poaceae. The record is from RNAcentral.
GGAGGAAGGGGCGGUGGCAUGCGUAUCGAGAGCCGGCUGCCCCGGCGUGCGCGAGGUUCGGCGCCAGUACGGGGUGCCUGGUCGCUGUGUCUGGUCACCCGGGCGGGCGGGCGGCCAUAUUGCUGCUUGACGGCCUCGAAAGGCGAGCUUUCCGGGUCCUCGGGAAACGAAGGGCAGCUGCAGGGCAGGAGGGGAAAAACGGUUAGGCCGAGGCGGAGAGGGGUGGUGGCGAAGGGAGGGAGGGAGGUAGCGGCGGGGGGGUGAGGUGGUGGUCGAAGGGCUUGCGAGAGGCGACUACGAAGAGGCGGGGCCGGGGAGGGGCGGCGGCGGGGCGAAGGGGCGGCGGCGCCGGGCGUCCUCGCGGCGGGGGCGGUGGCGCGGGAAGAAGGAGCACGACGCGGCGGCCGUCGCCGCCGCGGCGGUGGCGGGCGUGCGGGCGGAGGCGCGGAGGGAGAGGCUGGAGGAACGGUCGGAGGGCCCGAGCGAGCGCGAGCAGCCCGGGCGCCGCCGCCGGCGGCGCCGGCGGCAGCAGAGGAGGUAGCGGAGGGGCAGGAGGAUGGAGGCCUCGCCGGAGGGAGGGGGGUCGAGGGGGCUAGUGCUCCUGCGGCUGCGGCGCCGGCGGCCGCUCACCUAGGAGAAGUGGUCGGGCUGCGGCAAGUUGGCGACGCACGACGACGCGACGGGCAGGCACAGGAAGCUCCUGCCCCCGCACGACGAGCUGCCGCAGUUGCUCGCGGACGAGUGGGUCCUGGCGGUGAUGCAGUUGGAGUCGGCCCCGUCGUAGGGGCGGCGCGGGCGGCCCGUCCCGCGGCCGCUCCAGAGGAUGGUCGCCGAGACGUAGGGGGACCUCCUGCCGCCCCACUAGCGCGAACUGACCGGGCGAUUGGACCUAGACCUGUUCCUCGUACCGGAACUAAGGUGCCACGAGCAGCACGGGCCGUGGGGGCUCCCCUCGUACCUGUCCCCGUAGCUCUACAAGCACGACCUACGCGAGUUCUUACCGAUGAAGGGGUAACAGUACUUGGGGUCUCCCACGCCGCCUAGUGGCCAAUGAUGUGGUUCCAAUAAAUGUCGCCGACUGUCACUACUGUAGACGUGUUGCUAGGCGAAAUAUUUGUCGUUUUCCGGUACCUGUUGUUAUUACCCACAACCCACCCCAAUACCACGGUUAUACGACUGUUUCAUGGAACACCUUCGACCUCUCAGAUGAGGAGAAUGCCGACGACAAACAUAGCUGUUAGGAAAACUGGAUGUCCUUCGUUGUUCUUGUAAAGGAGUAUUAUAGCGAGAACUAGUUUUCGAGUGUCGACCGAACCAACUAUAAGACGCACGGUUAUUCCUUGAGAAAGUUCCUUUUCUAUUUCUGAAACUACAGGUCUUCCGAAAUAGCCGCUUGACAAACGCACUGAAACUACCUCGUUAUAGGUACCAAAGUGUACGCAAACGAUUACAACUACUGAAGAUAAGCCUUUUAUCGCACUCCGGAAAUCAACGGCCGCACUUUUAUGGACAUGAGAAAUAUGUCUCACUACUACCCUGACACGGUGAAAACAGUCAUGGCGCGUCAAGUUAUAGUCUUUUAGGAAAAUGGUCGGAAGAGGAAACAAGAACACAUGUGAGUUGACCUAAGUGGAAACUCUCUAUGUGACUUAAUACCACGGUCUUAGAAUGGGAUCUCACCAACAGUCGUCACCUCAAACGAGAAGAAUUCCCAGCAGUAGGCGAAUAGUUUCUACACCUAUAGUGACAAUUGGGUAGGUUUCCAGAUCGUAAGUGGCGUGGAGUUGGCUUACUAUUCUUCCAGGGGUUUCUCCUGUUAAAAGUACUCGUUCGAGUCAAAAAAGAGAGAUUAUUAAAAGGGGUACCUUAUUUACCCGACGAGUUACUAAGACGUUUACUUAUAAUACCACGAGUUUUGUCGCUUUUACCCGACGAGUGACUAAGACGUUUACCUAUAAGACCACGAGUUUUGUCGCUUUUACCCGACGAGUGACUAAGACGUUUACCUAUAAGACCACGGGUUUUGUCGUUUUUACCCGACGAGCGACUAAGACGUUUACCUAUAAGACCACGAGUUUUGUCGCUUUUGCCCGACAAUUUUCUAUUACCACUGCAUCCGUCCUAUUCGUUUCUCCGACUACUUCUCCUCGGUCUUCUUUAAGGACUUCUACAACUUUUUCCAGUACAUGAUGUUAGUCGUCCAGAACACUACUUAUACGACCUACGAUGUUACGGACCGUGAGACCUACUACUAGUUUUCUUCUUCCAAUACCACCGUCAUCUUGUUCCGCUUAGGGAACACUUUCGAGAUCUUCUUCGACAUGGACUUCUACACGCACCUUUCGAAUGCAGCAGACACUGACUUUAAAAUGUUAGAUUUGCUGUGUUAAAGUUAAACCUACGCAACUUCGCGCCGACCCGAUUACGUUCUAGUUGGUGGUUCUGUCACCAGGUUCUUUUCCAGUUUCUCAGCCUAGUACUCUCACCUCAAUUCCUACGGUUUUAACAACUGGUCUUGUCCUCACAAUGUAGGUAACCACUCCCUCUGGUUUUUCUAUGAUUAGACUGGAGUUUGCUGUUGUUAGGACGACUUCCAUAACUAAAUAGUGUUAGUUUCGGAAUGGUUCGAAGACCUGGACAGCCUUGACCUUAGCUUUGCCCUUCACUAGUCUAAGUUGAGCUAUUUGGACUCUCUCUAUCGAGACCUCACUUACUUUCGUCACUUCUCUUCGUUCUCCGGCUAGUCCCGUCACAUUGUCUAGGUUUCGUAGAAAGACUACUAGGUAGUUGUCGGUUAAGUUUGCCUUGAGGGUCUCUCGCUCACGUCAGCCGUCUACGAUGUCGUCUCGUCUUAGGUGUCAGGUUAUACCAUCUGUUCCUUCAACUACGUCAAGUGUGGUUACUUCUAUUCCAACGUGAAUUACAACGACUAGUCUCGUGCGUUUAGAGAUUUUGUCUUCUUAGAUUUGUAGGCAGUCAAUUAUUACACUCUGUCCGUAAUCUACGGAAUUGACUAAAACUACUGAGCUGAGUUUACCGACAGUUAUCACACAAGCCUCAAUAACUUUUAUACUAACUGGUCAAAGUUUUCGUGUUCCUGAGACUCCUGUCCCUCUUAAGACUACCUCGGUGGCUAUUCGGAGGACACCUACUCUGUCUUAGACUACGCUACCACCUACACCUGUUACUCAAUUCACCUUUCCUGUUUUUAGGUAGUAGUAGACCACUUAGUGUUGUAUUAUGAAGACAAUUUCUAGCAGGCUAGUACAGACUUCUAGUAUUAAAAUCACUCUUUUUUAGACUAAACUUGUGACAAGGUGGAAGCUUUCCUUUUUAGUCUUUAAGAGUUUCUUUAUAUGGACCUUUACUACAACUACCACUACAGCCCUUCUACCACUCACCGAGUGGACUAAUGAACAACCUACAUCGACGGUCAAGAAUAAACUUCCACGUCAUACGAAACAUGGAAGUACUUAUAGAAUGUUCUGUUGACGUUGAAGUCAGUGGUCCAAACUUGAGCCGUUGACUAGAAAAGGAACUAGGCGUUCUCCCAUUUACCUUUGAUCGUCUAGUUUACCUGUUACACGUUCCACUGUAAAGAUAUAGACCUUUUAUAUCGAAGCAGUUACUUCCCUAGUUCGUACGUCUAAGGAGCGUUCGAGGUGGAUCCUGUCCGUUACAGUAAAACGGUGGUAUGAGUCGAGACGCUUUAAAACGUCUAAGACUUUGGUUUUCCUUCCAUUAACUCUUCAACGGACCAUGACGAAACUCUGUCUGUGAGUGUAUGAAAUAAUGACUACUCAAUUGUUUAUGGGAGUUUUGACUUCAACCAGCGUCUGACCCCUAUUGUUUUCGACUCUUUGAAGUUUCUUCAGAACGUGUACUACAUCUUGCUGAGCGAUGAGUUCAAAGAUCUUGAUAACAGGUACUGAGACUCAAUAUGUCUCGUUGUAGACACGUCUCCUUAGGUUGCUGACACUUUAAACCACACCAGGUACCGCUUUUACAACAACUUCGACAUAGUUGACGUCAAGACGUUAGAGUACUAGACUCUUUCCAAGAAGGUCACCCACAUUAUCAACCACAUUGAAAUCGCAGGAACUCUUUGAUGAAGGUGCAACCACAGAGAUUCGUACUGUUGGAAUGUUUUCGACGCCAGUUCAGUCCUUAAAACCUACUCCUAGAAUAAUAAGUCCUACGGCCGCUUCCUUUAUAUCUAUUAGAAAGGUGAGUCUUUCUUCGUUUACGACUAGAAACGUGUGUUUUUCUUCGUUUAUGUCUAAUAAUAUUGCUUUUUGGGCCACUCGUGUUCGUUGUCCUCUAUUGUUUCAGUCUACCAUUUCCGUACUACCAACCCCGACAUUGCCGACGGGAUCCACGAAGACGUAAGCAUCGUGUAGUAGUUGCUUUCUUACGACUUCUCGUACUAUCGUACCUAUCGUGAGUCGUAUUAAAACUGCUGUGACUUGACCUUUUCCCGGUCUUGUUGAAUCACUCUUCGAAACGACUCUUUCGGUACAGACAACGUCGAGGCCACCAUGGGUUCUUCCCACCACCACUUGAACUAGUGCUAUCCGAACAACGACAAGAUCGACUUGAUCCCGUUUCUCCACCUUAGAACUUUAAACACCCCUUUUAACGAGAUGAGACCCCUCCAUAAGCACCACGAUACUCGAACUGACUGUCCGAGUAGAACAAGAAUGCAUAGUCGCUUGCAGGGAAUAAAGUCUCCUAACACCCUAAAAGGAAGUACCAUGAACAAGAUACCAGAGGACACCACUAAGGAAAUGACGGUUGAGAACAAGUUUCGACCUGUUAUUCGCGAAGUUGUCCUUAACAACCCCUACGAACGUAACAACCAGACAUACAGAGAUAUUACUAUGAACAUUACGAUACCCCUUUUUCUUAUGCACCGAUACUCCUAGGUCAACUCGUUAUACCUUACUUAGAACGUAGAAGUAGUUCCGACGUUCUUAAAAAGGUUCCAGAACAGCCUCCGCACAGACAGCAAACCAACCACGUAAGCUAUUCGUAAAAUGAACCGAAACGUUGAAAAGCUCUUCCCUGCGGAAGUAAGAAUGGUAAACUAGAAGAGUUUAGAAGUUCUUUACAUAACAACGGUCGAGAAUCUCCCAAAUAGUGUCGUUGAUCGUAAAGACACCACCUUCUUCACCAAAAGUCUAGUACCGAAGGUCUUCUUCAACGUCAACUAGAACCAAUGAUGUUACGAUAAGACUACAGACCUCAACGAAAAAGAGACUAAGUGGCCAGAGAUGGAAGUCAUGGUCCGAAACACGAUGAAAGGGACCACGAAAAACCCGAAUUCGUUUCUUGUGUUCCCUUAGAACGACGUGGCUAACCGGACGCUAGACCUUAAUACUGACGAUCAAUAGAGUGUGUUUGGUCAGCGUAAUAACGUAAGUUUGGACUUUGAGGUAAGACCUACUAAUCAUGUAUAGUAGAAGUAGGCAAACUACCACGCUAACCCAAUUCAUAAACACGUAAUGAACGCUAGGAAAAGAAGGGAGUCUCUGGACAAGUCUUCCUAUGUAGACACAGUACUCUUAACCCUCCUGGGUGUUUUCAUGAGAAACUCCGGUCAAAGUUGUUCUAUAGUGCAGACGUGUUUUGCACUCGUGACUUCCCGAAGAGGUCACAUAUGAUACAAUCGAGUGUGACUGCGUGACAUUGAACGAGCUUUUUCUCGUGGGCCGAUCGUCGAACUAAUGUGGCUCCCCACGACGGCUACCUUACCUCGACACCCCCAAGUAUGGGAACCGUUUAAACAUACGAUGAGUAAAGACCCGAGAACUGUCUACUUGAGACAAUAGCCAGCACGAUUGUUGUAUUUGAGGCUCGUCCUUACUAAACAAAGCAAGUAGUAAUAUCCCACCCCGUCAUAGCAUAUUUGAUGGGUCCUUCGACCUAUAUAGAACCUCUCUUUGAUCGUCUAUAGUAUUACACUUCAGUUAUGAACACGGUAAACCACCUCAUACACACGACUGACAGAAUUGAAGAAAAUCUUUAUGAAGUACGACUGAUUAACCACAUAUCCAAACAAGAAAUCUAGAUUGAUUCGGAGGAAAACUAUAAGACCUUGUGUUCGUACAGGUUCAAAACCCCACCUUUUAAAACUGUCGUGUAUGACAUACAUCUUCUAUCAGUGUACUGUCUCAAUCGACUAUGUAGUAUGUGUCAACACAUAGAAGGAGCUACUGUCUUAGAGUGACUGACAUUCCAAGUCACGUUCAUAUUACAACGGACAUACAUAUCUUCUUAGGCAGCUCUGGGCGUUUCUCUUUAUCGGUAAACAUGAUAUACAUUAUAAAGGUAUUAUUACAUUAUGAAACGGAGUUGAAGAGAGUGCAUCCGAGACAAUCGUCGGCCAGGUAGUUCAGGUGAUGUUCCCUGCCGUGUUCGGUUCAGUCGCUGCUGAUGCAGUUGGGAAGCUCGAGACAGCAACUAUCACCUGGUUCGUUCUCCUAAGCUGCUCGUUCUCCUAAGUUACGGGCAGGUGAGCGAUGCGUCCGUUCCUCACCCAGUGUACGAGACAAUUUAUCCCUUCCUUUACCAAUAAUCCCUAAACCGGUCAGACGGCAAACGAACAUUGAGAGAAGGAGGAAGGAGGGCCGAACAUUAAAGCUUAAUCUCGAUGUCUAGACUCCCUACAAGCAGUCAUCUCUCUCUAGGAUC